GAGGUCGUCUGCGUGUCUUCCUGAUGCGGCCAAGGCUGUGAGUCCCACCUUCAGUGUGUGUUGUCAUCGGAACAGAGAUAAGGAAAGCUGGGAUGGGGUGUCUGGUGUCCCCCAAAGACAUGUUCGCAUCCUAAGCCCUGGAACCUGUGGAUGGGACCUUAUUUGGAAAUAGUCUUUGGCAGUGUUGUCAAGGGUGACAUGGUAUCAGUGUCAACAGCGGGGACUGAGCACACUUGGGACGCCACCACCCGGACGCGCACAGGCAUGGGAUGGGGGAACCAGCCUCGCCACCGAUCCAGCUGGUGCUCAACUGCUGAGCGUGCCUCUCCACACCUGCGCCUCCGGCCCUCAGCUCCCAGCUGUCCCCCAGCGGCUCAGCCCCAGGCCUGAGCAACAGGCACCUGUACCAGCCGUGGUUGGACCCCAACCUCCUCCCUGCAAAACGUGAGACAGAAGAAUUCUGAAGGUAAAAGAACCUCUGCUUUUUCUGCAUUUCCCACCCUGGUUAUCACUCACUCGAGGAAAGCUGAGACUUGGCACGCUGGGUGCCCACACUGCCAGGAGAGGCUCCCAAGGGAACCGUCUGGGGAGCCCAGGCCCAGCUCUCCCCACCUGCAGAUCGGUGCUUGGCUGACGACGUGGCAGAGCUGACCUCCUCAGCCUUCCGCACUCGCAGUUACAGCAACAGAGCCGCGGUGCCAUGGGUCCCAGGGGCUUGGCUUCCCCGAGGUUGCUGUAGGUGGCUGCAGACCCAAGGCCAUGCCCCUGUGGCUCCCAGUUAGCCUUGAAUAAGAAGACCAGGAUCAGAAGGGCGCUUUGCGAUUUGGCGGGUGGUGACUGAGAACUUUUCCCAGUCACUUUAUGAGGGCCUCAGUGACAACUUCUUGGCAUUUGCCAGAGCAGAGUGGGCGUCCAGGUGGAGGCACCAAGGGGGUUGGGGUCCGCGCUGUGGCCGAGUCAGCUCCUUCUGGGUUUGGACGGUCCCUCUGUCUCCGCAUUCUUUCUCUUUGCCUUCUUCCCCACCUCCACCCAGGGACCUGGCUCUCCUGGGGCUGCUCGGGGGAUUCCGGAUCGUCCCAAGAGGUCAGGUGCGGCAGGGGAUGGGCUUCACGCUCUAGACAUUGAGGCGCUGACAAAG
Molecule: long non-coding RNA, 1138 nt
Organism: Hippopotamus amphibius kiboko
Lineage: Eukaryota; Metazoa; Chordata; Mammalia; Artiodactyla; Hippopotamidae
Exons: 3
Source: RefSeq, a predicted model, not a curated record